Molecule: ribosomal RNA, 465 nt
Filed under: uncultured bacterium
Lineage: Bacteria
Description: partial 16S ribosomal RNA
Rfam family: Bacterial small subunit ribosomal RNA
Source: RNAcentral
GACGAACGCUGGCGGCGUGCUUAACACAUGCAAGUCGAACGGAAAGGCCCUGCUUGCAGGGUACUCGAGUGGCGAACGGGUGAGUAACACGUGGGUGAUCUGCCCUGCACUUCGGGAUAAGCCUGGGAAACUGGGUCUAAUACCGGAUAGGAGCCAUUUUUAGUGUGAUGGUUGGAAAGUUUUUUCGGUGUAGGAUGAGCUCGCGGCCUAUCAGCUUGUUGGUGGGGUAAUGGCCUACCAAGGCGGCGACGGGUAGCCGGCCUGAGAGGGUGGACGGCCACAUUGGGACUGAGAUACGGCCCAGACUCCUACGGGAGGCAGCAGUGGGGAAUAUUGCACAAUGGGCGCAAGCCUGAUGCAGCGACGCCGCGUGGGGGAUGACGGCCUUCGGGUUGUAAACUCCUUUCGCUAGGGACGAAGCUUUUUGUGACGGUACCUAGAUAAAAAGCACCGGCUAACUACGUG